AGUGAACGCUGGCGGCGUGGUUCAGACAUGCAAGUCGAGCGCGAUUCGUCGAUCUGAUCCUUCGGGUGAGGUGAAACGAUGAAAGCGGCGAACGGGUGAGUAACACGUGAGCAACCUGCCCUAAAGUUCGGGAUAGCCCGCCGAAAGGUGGAUUAAUACCGGAUGUGGUCCCUGGUCGCAUGGCCGGGGCACUAAAGCUUGUAAUGGCGCUUUAGGAGGGGCUCGCGUCCUAUCAGCUUGUUGGUGAGGUAAUGGCUCACCAAGGCUUAGACGGGUAGCUGUUCUGAGAGGAUGAUCAGCCACACUGGAACUGAGACACGGUCCAGACAUCUACGGGUGGCAGCAGUUUCGAAUCAUUCACAAUGGGGGAAACCCUGAUGGUGCAACGCCGCGUGGGGGAUGAAGGUCUUCGGAUUGUAAACCCCUGUCACCAAGGACUAAACGCACGGCUCAUACCCGUGCCUGAAUUAACUUGGAGAGGAAGCAGUGGCUAACUCCGUGCCAGCAGCCGCGGUAAUACGGAGACUGCAAGCGUUACUCGGAUUUACUGGGCGUAAAGGGUCCGUAGGCGGCCAUGUGUGUCGGGUGUGAAAUCCUGCAGCUUAACUGUAGAAUUGCGCCCGAAACUACAUGGCUAGAGUAUCGGAGAGGUGAGUGGAAUUCCAGGUGUAGCGGUGAAAUGCGUAGAUAUCUGGAGGAACACCACCGGCGA
Molecule: ribosomal RNA, 712 nt
Filed under: uncultured bacterium
Lineage: Bacteria
Description: bacterial SSU rRNA
Rfam family: Bacterial small subunit ribosomal RNA
Source: RNAcentral